This 1625-nucleotide ribosomal RNA is filed under the name activated sludge metagenome. Its description in RNAcentral is "bacterial LSU rRNA". It matches the Rfam family "Bacterial large subunit ribosomal RNA", at positions 1292 to 2905 of the family's 2925-position model. The record is from RNAcentral.
GAAUGCUGACAUGAGUAGCGAUAAAGGGAGUGAAAAGCUCCCUCGCCGAAAGCCCCAGGUUUCCUGCGCAACGUUCAUCGGCGCAGGGUGAGUCGGCCCCUAAGGCGAGGCUGAAAAGCGUAGUCGAUGGGAAACAGGUUAAUAUUCCUGUACCUCUUUGUAAUGCGAUGGGGGGACGGAGAAGGUUAGGUCAGCCGGGUGUUGGACGUCCCGGUUCAAGCGUGUAGGGAGAUCUUCCAGGCAAAUCCGGAAGGUCAAUCCUGAGGCGUGAUAACGAGUGGUCUUGUACCGCGAAGUGAUUGAUACCAUGCUUCCAAGAAAAGCCUCUAAGCUUCAGUUACCAGGGGACCGUACCGCAAACCGACACAGGUGGGCAGGAUGAAAAUUCUCAGGCGCUUGAGAGAACUCAGGAGAAGGAACUCGGCAAAUUUGCACCGUAACUUCGGGAAAAGGUGCGCCCUGAUAGGUUGUAGCCCCUCGCGGGUGAAGGCUGAAAGGGUUGCAGUGAAAUGGUGGCUGCGACUGUUUAAUAAAAACACAGCACUCUGCAAACACGAAAGUGGACGUAUAGGGUGUGACGCCUGCCCGGUGCCGGAAGGUUAAGUGAUGGGGUGCAAGCUCUUGAUCGAAGCCCCGGUAAACGGCGGCCGUAACUAUAACGGUCCUAAGGUAGCGAAAUUCCUUGUCGGGUAAGUUCCGACCUGCACGAAUGGCGUAACGAUGGCCACACUGUCUCCUCCUGAGACUCAGCGAAGUUGAAGUGGUUGUGAAGAUGCAAUCUCCCCGCGGUUAGACGGAAAGACCCCAUGAACCUUUACUGUAGCUUUGCAUUGGACUUUGAACCGACUUGUGUAGGAUAGGUGGGAGGCUGUGAAACCGGGACGCUAGUCCGGGUGGAGCCAACCUUGAAAUACCACCCUGGUUUGUUUGAGGUUCUAACCACGGCCCGUGAAUCCGGGUCUGGGACCGUGCAUGGUAGGCAGUUUGACUGGGGCGGUCUCCUCCUAAAGGGUAACGGAGGAGUACGAAGGUACGCUAGGUACGGUCGGAAAUCGUGCUAAUAGUGCAAUGGCAAAAGCGUGCUUGACUGCGAGACCCACACGUCGAGCAGGUACGAAAGUAGGUCAUAGUGAUCCGGUGGUUCUGUAUGGAAGGGCCAUCGCUCAACGGAUAAAAGGUACUCUGGGGAUAACAGGCUAAUACCGCCCAAGAGUUCAUAUCGACGGCGGUGUUUGGCACCUCGAUGUCGGCUCAUCACAUCCUGGGGCUGUAGUCGGUCCCAAGGGUAUGGCUGUUCGCCAUUUAAAGUGGUACGUGAGCUGGGUUUAAAACGUCGUGAGACAGUUUGGUCCCUAUCUGCCGUGGGCGCUGGAAAUUUGAAGGGGGCUGCUCCUAGUACGAGAGGACCGGAGUGGACGAACCUCUGGUGUACCGGUUAUGACGCCAGUCGUAUCGCCGGGUAGCUACGUUCGGAAGAGAUAAACGCUGAAAGCAUCUAAGCGUGAAACUCGCCUUAAGAUGAGAUUUCCCCGGGGACUUGAUCCCCCUGAAGGGUCGUGGUAGACCACCACGUUGAUAGGCUGGGUGUGGAAGCGCAGCAAUGCGUUCAGCUAACCAGUACUAAU